AUGAACGCUGGCGGCGUGCCUCAUCCAUGCAAGUCGAGCGAACAGACGAGGAGCUUGCUCCUCUGACGUUAGCGGCGGACGGGUGAGUAACACGUGGAUAACCUACCUAUAAGACUGGGAUAACUUCGGGAAACCGGAGCUAAUACCGGAUAAUAUAUUGAACCGCAUGGUUCAAUAGUGAAAGACGGUUUUGCUGUCACUUAUAGAUGGAUCCGCGCCGCAUUAGCUAGUUGGUAAGGUAACGGCUUACCAAGGCAACGAUGCGUAGCCGACCUGAGAGGGUGAUCGGCCACACUGGAACUGAGACACGGUCCAGACUCCUACGGGAGGCAGCAGUAGGGAAUCUUCCGCAAUGGGCGAAAGCCUGACGGAGCAACGCCGCGUGAGUGAUGAAGGUCUUCGGAUCGUAAAACUCUGUUAUUAGGGAAGAACAAAUGUGUAAGUAACUAUGCACGUCUUGACGGUACCUAAUCAGAAAGCCACGGCUAACUACGUG
RNAcentral lists this ribosomal RNA (496 nucleotides) under uncultured bacterium. Its description in RNAcentral is "partial 16S ribosomal RNA". It matches the Rfam family "Bacterial small subunit ribosomal RNA", at positions 29 to 507 of the family's 1533-position model. The record is from RNAcentral.